This 73-nucleotide transfer RNA is filed under the name Paramuricea clavata. It matches the Rfam family "tRNA". Rfam says of the family: Transfer RNA (tRNA) molecules are approximately 80 nucleotides in length. Their secondary structure includes four short double-helical elements and three loops (D, anti-codon, and T loops). Lineage: Eukaryota; Metazoa; Cnidaria; Anthozoa; Malacalcyonacea; Plexauridae. The record is from Rfam by way of RNAcentral.
GACCGCGUAGCUCAGUUGGAAGAGGUAUGGGCUAGUAUUCCAAAGGUCGUGGGUUCGAAUCCCACCGUGGCCG